UCCUGUGGCACCUUAUAGACUCACCGAAGUGUUGGAGCAUAAGCUUUCGUGGGCAAAGACCCACUUCGUCAAAUGCAUGUCCCUAAGAUGCAUCCCCAUUACUGUUUUACUGAGCACAAAUUCAUUUUUAAAAUGUUUUCUUAGAAAUGUCUGUCCAUUCAGUGCCUACAUCAGUGGAAACUGAGUGACACAAGAAUCUAUCAACAGCAGCUGCCAAUUUACUGACACUCCCCUGAAUGUGAGUGUCAGGUGACUUUCAGAAUGGUGCAACACAAAUCAACUCUGCUGUGAUCAGCUCCACAGAGAGACCAAACCUCACCUACAGUUCUCUGCCACUGUGCCAAGCAGAUAUUAUGUGUCAGCUAGUUGCUUGGCCAGGAAACAAUCCACCCGUGUAUCAAGGUGCAUGCCAAUGACUUUUGUAUCCUGUACCUCAAAGGGCUCCGUGGGAAGAAAAGUCCACGUGCAGCUUAACAACAUCAUCAAGGCUGUACGUUGUCAUCCUGCACGUAUGUACGACAGCUUUCCCUGCACAGCUGCAUGCUGCUAUCUCCUCUCAUCAGCUGAAUAAAACAUCCUGGCACUCCAUCAAGAUAACGCCUGCAUGGCUGCUCUUUUUAAUCUUCUUUUUUAAUGUAUUUUUGUGUGCAUCUCAAAUAUAAUUUAAAUGGCAUAAUAAAAGGCCAACAUUAUGAAGUUAAUUUUUUUUAAUUCUUUCCUGAAUGGGUUCCAAAUGCUAAUGGGAAAUAUUAUUUAUAGUGUGUUUUUAUUAUUCAAAAUGAUAUUAGAGUUUAGUCAGAAAUUUUCCUCUUAGACCUCAUUGCACCUCUCUCCUUUCCCCCUUUCUGCUGCUGUGGAGGGAUCUGUUUGUCUGAUGCAUGAACUGUGUUAAAGAAUUAUUAUUGUUAUUACUUUUGGAUUUGGCAAAGAUGUCAUUAUAAAUGCUGAAUUUGUUUUCCACAGGUCAAUAGACUAAU
Molecule: non-coding RNA, 977 nt
Organism: Pelodiscus sinensis (Chinese soft-shelled turtle)
Lineage: Eukaryota; Metazoa; Chordata; Testudines; Trionychidae
Source: RefSeq, a predicted model, not a curated record